RNAcentral lists this ribosomal RNA (253 nucleotides) under uncultured bacterium. RNAcentral's name for it is "partial 16S ribosomal RNA". It matches the Rfam family "Bacterial small subunit ribosomal RNA", at positions 524 to 776 of the family's 1533-position model. The record is from RNAcentral.
UACGGAGGGUGCAAGCGUUAUCCGGAUUCACUGGGUUUAAAGGGUGCGUAGGCGGGUUGGUAAGUCCGUGGUGAAAUCUCCGAGCUUAACUCGGAAACUGCCGUGGAUACUAUCAAUCUUGAAUAUCGUGGAGGUAAGCGGAAUAUGUCAUGUAGCGGUGAAAUGCUUAGAGAUGACAUAGAACACCAAUUGCGUAGGCAGCUCACUACACGAUCAUUGACGCUGAGGCACGAAAGCGUGGGGAGCAAACAGG